Molecule: ribosomal RNA, 254 nt
Filed under: uncultured bacterium
Lineage: Bacteria
Description: partial 16S ribosomal RNA
Rfam family: Bacterial small subunit ribosomal RNA
Source: RNAcentral
UACGUAGGGGGCAAGCGUUGUCCGGAUUUAUUGGGCGUAAAGAGCUCGUAGGCGGUUUGGUAAGUCGGGUGUGAAAUCUCCACGCUCAACGUGGAGGGGCCACUCGAUACUGCCAUGACUGGAGUCCGGUAGAGGAGUGUGGAAUUCCUGGUGUAGCGGUGAAAUGCGCAGAUAUCAGGAGGAACACCAAUGGCGAAGGCAGCUCGCUGGGACGUGACUGACGCUGAGACGCGAAAGCGUGGGGAGCAAACAGG